Molecule: long non-coding RNA, 320 nt
Organism: Mauremys reevesii (Reeves's turtle)
Lineage: Eukaryota; Metazoa; Chordata; Testudines; Geoemydidae
Exons: 3
Source: RefSeq, a predicted model, not a curated record
CUUGCAGUCUCUCACUGAGGACCAAGAGACAUUGGUGUGCAGGAGAUUCAGUGCGUGUGUUUGUCAUUCCCGUGUGGAUUUGUUUCAAAGACAUUGUCAUCUGUGUAGAAGCCAGUUUCGAUCUCUGGUUUCUACCCCUUGCCCUGCUGGUAGGGCAUUGUGUGGCACCCGUUGCAGGCCACCUGGGUGCAGGAGAUCGAGGCGGGUGAAGGGAGGAGCAACCCUGAGCAUCUGCCAUCCAGCUCCAUCCAAUCUAGAGCAAUUCCAGGAUGGAGCGAAUAAGGCGGAUGCUCAGGAGGAAGGCCGGGCAGGUGGCUCCA